GAUAAGGUGGCUGAAUUUUAGGUUGUAAAUUGUAAAUUUAUUUAUGAGUAAUACUCUCUUGUCA
This 64-nucleotide transfer RNA is filed under the name Tuxedo flavicollis. Its description in RNAcentral is "tRNA-Tyr". The record is from RNAcentral. Lineage: Eukaryota; Metazoa; Arthropoda; Insecta; Hemiptera; Miridae.